AUUGAACGCUGGCGGCAGGCCUAACACAUGCAAGUCGAGCGGAAACGAAGGGAGCUUGCUCCCAGGCGUCGAGCGGCGGACGGGUGAGUCACACGUGAGAAUCUGCCCAUUAGUGGGGGACAACUCGGGGAAACUCGAGCUAAUACCGCAUAAUCCCUACGGGGGAAAGCAGGGGACCUUUUGGCCUUGCGCUGAUUGAUGAGCCCACGUCGGAUUAGCUUGUUGGUGAGGUAAAGGCUCACCAAGGCGACGAUCCGUAGCUGGUCUGAGAGGAUGAUCAGCCACACUGGGACUGAGACACGGCCCAGACUCCUACGGGAGGCAGCAGUGGGGAAUCUUGGACAAUGGGGGCAACCCUGAUCCAGCCAUGCCGCGUGUGUGAAGAAGGCCUUCGGGUUGUAAAGCACUUUCAGCAGGGAGGAAGGCUUUGGCCGAAUAGGUUGAAGUACUUGACGUUACCUGCAGAAGAAGCACCGGCUAAUUUCGUGCCAGCAGCCGCAGUAA
RNAcentral lists this ribosomal RNA (504 nucleotides) under uncultured bacterium. RNAcentral describes it as "partial 16S ribosomal RNA". It matches the Rfam family "Bacterial small subunit ribosomal RNA", at positions 30 to 523 of the family's 1533-position model. The record is from RNAcentral.